AAUAAAGUGCCUGAUAAAAGGAAUAUUCUGAUAGGAUAAAUUAUGAAGAUUUUCUUCCUUUAUUA
Molecule: transfer RNA, 65 nt
Filed under: Tineola bisselliella
Lineage: Eukaryota; Metazoa; Arthropoda; Insecta; Lepidoptera; Tineidae
Description: tRNA-Ile
Source: RNAcentral